GGGCGAUUAGCUCAGCGGGAGAGCGGCUCCUUUACACGGAGAUGGUCGGCGGUUCGAAUCCGUCAUCGCCCA
Molecule: transfer RNA, 72 nt
Filed under: Lysobacterales bacterium
Lineage: Bacteria; Pseudomonadati; Pseudomonadota; Gammaproteobacteria; Lysobacterales
Also listed under: 3 other names
Description: tRNA-Val
Rfam family: tRNA
About the family: Transfer RNA (tRNA) molecules are approximately 80 nucleotides in length.
Source: RNAcentral